Molecule: ribosomal RNA, 1752 nt
Filed under: Clostridium tertium
Lineage: Bacteria; Bacillati; Bacillota; Clostridia; Eubacteriales; Clostridiaceae
Description: partial 23S ribosomal RNA
Rfam family: Bacterial large subunit ribosomal RNA
Source: RNAcentral
GGUCAAGCUACAAAGGGCGCAUGGUGAAUGCCUUGGCAUCAGGAGCCGAUGAAGGACGUGAUAAGCUGCGAUAAGCUUCGGGUAGGCGCACAUAGCCAGUGAUCCGAAGAUUUCCGAAUGAGGGAACUCACAUGGGAAACCCCAUGUAUCCUGUAGUGAAUAAAUAGCUGCAGGAAGGUAAACCUAGGGAACUGAAACAUCUAAGUACCUAGAGGAAGAGAAAGAAAAAUCGAUUUUCUUAGUAGCGGCGAGCGAAAGGGAAAGAGCCCAAACCAGAGAUUUAUCUCUGGGGUUGCGGACAGAACAUUAAAUAAACUAAUUUGUAACCGAAGACAACUGGAAAGUUGUGCCGUAGAGUGUAAUAGCCACGUAGGUGAAACGAAGAGGUUUAGAGUUCUGAUCCAGAGUACCACGAGACACGUGAAACCUUGUGGGAAGCAGGGAGGACCACCUCCCAAGGCUAAAUACUACCUGAUGACCGAUAGUGAAGCAGUACCGUGAGGGAAAGGUGAAAAGAACCCCGGGAGGGGAGUGAAAUAGAACCUGAAACCGUGUGCCUACAACCGGUCAAAGCCCCUUAUGAGGGUGAUGACGUGCUUUUUGUAGAACGAGCCAACGAGUUACGGUAUGUAGCAAGGUUAAGUACUUAAGGUACGGAGCCUAAGGGAAACCGAGUCUUAAUAGGGCGACUAGUUGCAUGCCGUAGACCCGAAACCGGGUGACCUAUCCAUGGCCAGGUUGAAGCGGGGGUAAAACCCCGUGGAGGACCGAACCACGUUGCUGUUGAAAAAGCAUGGGAUGAGCUGUGGAUAGCGGAGAAAUUCCAAUCGAACUCGGAGAUAGCUGGUUCUCCUCGAAAUAGCUUUAGGGCUAGCGUCGGAUAUGAGUAAUGGAGGUAGAGCACUGAAUGGGCUAGGGGGCGUAUCGCUUACCGAACCUUAUCAAACUCCGAAUGCCAUAUACUAUGAGUCCGGCAGUCAGACUACGAAUGAUAAGAUCCGUGGUCAAAAGGGAAAAAGCCCAGAUCGUCAGCUAAGGUCCCAAAGUGUAAGUUAAGUGGUAAAGGAUGUGGGAUUUCUAAGACAACUAGGAUGUUGGCUUAGAAGCAGCCACUCAUUUAAAGAGUGCGUAAUAGCUCACUAGUCGAGAGAUCCUGCGCCGAAAAUGUCCGGGGCUCAAACUUACCACCGAAGCUACGGGCUCAAGUUUACUUGAGCGGUAGAGGAGCGUCGUAAUCGGGCUGAAGUCGUACCGUAAGGAGCGGUGGACUGAUUACGAGUGAGAAUGUUGGCAUUAGUAGCGAGAUGUAAGUGAGAAUCUUACAGGCCGAAAAUCUAAGGUUUCCUGGGGAAGGCUCGUCCGCCCAGGGUUAGUCGGGACCUAAGCCGAGGCCGAAAGGCGUAGGUGAUGGACAAUUGGUUGAUAUUCCAAUACCACUAUUAUCGUUAUUAUCGAUGGUGUGACGGAGAAGGAUAGGAUGUGCUAGCGAUUGGAAAUGCUAGUCUAAGCAUUUAGGGAGUUAAAGUAGGCAAAUCCGCUUUAACAAUUCUGAGGUGUGAUGGGGAAGGUCAUUUUGACUGAAGUAUCUGAUUCCAUGCUUCCAAGAAAAGCAUCUAGAGAGAGAAGUAGUGCCCGUACCGCAAACCGACACAGGUAGAUGAGGAGAGAAUCCUAAGGCCAUCGGAAGAAUUGCAGUUAAGGAACUAGGCAAAUUGACCCCGUAAGUUCGCGAGAAGGGGUGCCUGUGAGAGC